Molecule: non-coding RNA, 102 nt
Filed under: Streptantibioticus cattleyicolor NRRL 8057 = DSM 46488
Lineage: Bacteria; Bacillati; Actinomycetota; Actinomycetes; Kitasatosporales; Streptomycetaceae
Description: Streptomyces cattleya NRRL 8057 = DSM 46488 TPP
Rfam family: TPP riboswitch aptamer (THI element) (bases 6-95)
About the family: Vitamin B(1) in its active form thiamin pyrophosphate (TPP) is an essential coenzyme that is synthesised by coupling of pyrimidine and thiazole moieties in bacteria.
Source: RNAcentral
GCAAUCGCGGGAGCUCGGAGCACCGGGCUGAGAGGGCGCUGAAGGACGCUGCGCCGACCGCUGAACCUGUUACCGGGUAAUGCCGGCGUAGGGAGUGGGUCU